GAAUCUUGGACAAUGGGCGAAAGCCUGAUCCAGCGACGCCGCAUGGGUGACGAAGGCCCUAGGGUUGUAAAGCCCUUUCGCCGGGGACGACGAUGACGGUACCCGGAGAAGAAGCACCGGCUAACUCCGUGCCAGCCGCCGCGGUAAGACGGAGGGUGCGAGCGUUGUUCGGAAUUACUGGGCGUAAAGGGUGCGUAGGCGGCAUCGCAAGUCAUGGGUGAAAGCCCGGGGCUCAACCCCGGAAUUGCCCGUGAAACUGCGGAGCUCGAGGCCGAGAGAGGGGGGUGGAAUACCCAGUGUAGAGGUGAAAUUCGUAGAUAUUGGGUGGAACACCGGUGGCGAAAGCGGCCCCCUGGCUCGGUUCUGACGCUGAGGCACGAAAGCGUGGGGAGCAAACAGG
RNAcentral lists this ribosomal RNA (400 nucleotides) under uncultured bacterium. Its description in RNAcentral is "bacterial SSU rRNA". It matches the Rfam family "Bacterial small subunit ribosomal RNA", at positions 359 to 776 of the family's 1533-position model. The record is from RNAcentral.